GAUGAACGCUAGCGGCAGGCCUAAUACAUGCAAGUCGAACGGUAAAUAUUGUAGCAAUACGAUAUGAGAGUGACGUACGGGUGCGUAACACGUAUGCAACCUACCCAAAACUGGAGUAUCGCUCGGGGAAACCCGAAUUAACCCUUCAUAGUAUCACUGGAUGGCAUCAUUUGGUGAUUAAAACUCAGGUGGUUUUGGCUGGGCAUGCGUCUGAUUAGCUAGUUGGCGGGGUAAAGGCCCACCAAGGCGAUGAACAGUAGGGGAACUGAGAGGUUGAUCCCCCACACUGGCACUGAGAUACGGGCCAGACUCCUACGGGAGGCAGCAGUAGGGAAUAUUGGUCAAUGGAUGCAAGUCUGAACCAGCCAUGCCGCGUGCAGGAAGAAGGCCUUCUGGGUUGUAAACUGCUUUUGCCAGAGGAUAAAAUGGGCGUGCGCGCCUAAUUGAAGGUACCUGGUGAAUAAGCCACGGCUAACUACGUGCCAGCAGCCGCCGUAA
RNAcentral lists this ribosomal RNA (498 nucleotides) under uncultured bacterium. Its description in RNAcentral is "partial 16S ribosomal RNA". It matches the Rfam family "Bacterial small subunit ribosomal RNA", at positions 28 to 523 of the family's 1533-position model. The record is from RNAcentral.